Long non-coding RNA from Amphimedon queenslandica, 350 nucleotides. RefSeq lists it as uncharacterized. The record is from RefSeq and is a predicted model, not a curated record. The transcript is spliced from 2 exons. NCBI's taxonomy places the organism in Eukaryota, Metazoa, Porifera, Demospongiae, Haplosclerida, Niphatidae.
GUACUGACUGUUGCCCAUAGACUUAACACUGUCAUGGACUCUGAUAAAAUUAUGAUAUUGGAUUCAGGAUCACUGAUUGAAUACGGUUCUCCUCACCUUCUUGUUAAUCAACCAUCAUCUUAUCUUUGUAUGCUAGUAAAUAAAAGUGGAUCAGCUAAUGCCACGAGGUUGAGAAGCAUGGCAUUUGAUGCAUAUCAAAAAGGGUUGGAUGGAACAAAACUCCAGAAUAAGUCCAGGAAGAGAAAAAUGAUAACAGUAAAAUCAAAUAAUUAAUGAACCAUAGUUAAUUCUUGUUUAGUAACUUACAUUCAUUUGUUAUUUUGGCUUUAAUCAUACAUAACAGAAAAAAA